RNAcentral lists this ribosomal RNA (776 nucleotides) under uncultured bacterium. RNAcentral describes it as "bacterial SSU rRNA". It matches the Rfam family "Bacterial small subunit ribosomal RNA", at positions 1 to 772 of the family's 1533-position model. The record is from RNAcentral.
UAGAGUUUGAUCCUGGCUCAGAUUGAACGCUGGCGGCAGGCCUAACACAUGCAAGUCGAGCGGCAGCACAAGGGAGUUUACUCCUGAGGUGGCGAGCGGCGGACGGGUGAGUAAUGCCUAGGGAUCUGCCCAGUCGAGGGGGAUAACAGUUGGAAACGACUGCUAAUACCGCAUACGCCCUACGGGGGAAAGGAGGGGACCUUUUGGCCUUCCGCGAUUGGAUGAACCUAGGUGGGAUUAGCUAGUUGGUGAGGUAAUGGCUCACCAAGGCGACGAUCCCUAGCUGUUCUGAGAGGAUGAUCAGCCACACUGGGACUGAGACACGGCCCAGACUCCUACGGGAGGCAGCAGUGGGGAAUAUUGCACAAUGGGGGAAACCCUGAUGCAGCCAUGCCGCGUGUGUGAAGAAGGCCUUCGGGUUGUAAAGCACUUUCAGUAGGGAGGAAAGGUUGUAAGUUAAUACCUUGCAGCUGUGACGUUACCUACAGAAGAAGGACCGGCUAACUCCGUGCCAGCAGCCGCGGUAAUACGGAGGGUCCAAGCGUUAAUCGGAAUUACUGGGCGUAAAGCGUGCGCAGGCGGUUUGUUAAGCGAGAUGUGAAAGCCCCGGGCUCAUCCUGGGAAUUGCAUUUCGAACUGGCAAACUAGAGUCUUGUAGAGGGGGGUAGAAUUCCAGGUGUAGCGGUGAAAUGCGUAGAGAUCUGGAGGAAUACCGGUGGCGAAGGCGGCCCCCUGGACAAAGACUGACGCUCAGGCACGAAAGCGUGGGGAGCAAA